Molecule: ribosomal RNA, 253 nt
Filed under: uncultured bacterium
Lineage: Bacteria
Description: partial 16S ribosomal RNA
Rfam family: Bacterial small subunit ribosomal RNA
Source: RNAcentral
GACAGAGGGUGCAAACGUUGUUCGGAAUUACUGGGCGUAAAGCGCGUGUAGGCGGCUAUGCAAGUCGGGCGUGAAAUCCCACGGCUCAACCGUGGAAGUGCACCCGAAACUGCGUAGCUAGAGUCCUGGAGAGGAAGGUGGAAUGCUUGGUGUAGAGGUGAAAUUCGUAGAUAUCAAGCGGAACACCGGUGGCGAAGGCGGCCUUCUGGACAGUGACUGACGCUGAGACGCGAAAGCGUGGGGAGCAAACAGG